GAUCAUAGCUCAGUGGUAGAACACAUGCUUUGCAUGCAGAAGGCCCCGGGUUCAAUCUCUGGCCUCUCCA
Podarcis lilfordi (Lilford's wall lizard) is the source of this 70-nucleotide non-coding RNA. The record is from the annotation of a GenBank genome assembly. Lineage: Eukaryota; Metazoa; Chordata; Lepidosauria; Squamata; Lacertidae.